AACGAACGCUGGCGGCAUGCCUAACACAUGCAAGUCGAACGAUUGCCUUCGGGUGAUAGUGGCGCACGGGUGCGUAACGCGUGGGAAUCUGCCCUUAGGUUCGGAAUAACAGCUGGAAACGGCUGCUAAUACCGGAUGAUAUCGCGAGAUCAAAGAUUUAUCGCCUGAGGAUGAGCCCGCGUUGGAUUAGGUAGUUGGUGGGGGAAAGGCCUACCAAGCCGACGAUCCAAAGCUGGUCUGAGAGGAGGAUCAGCCACACUGGGACGGGGACAAGGCCCAAAUUCUGCAGGAGGGCAGAAGUGGGGAUUUUGGAACAUUGGGGGAAGGCCGAAGCCAGCAUGACGGGUAAGGUGUUGAAGGCCUGAGGUUGGUAAGCUCUUUUACCCGGGAAGAUAAUGACUGUACCGGGAGAAUAAGCCCCGGCUAACUCCGUG
This 434-nucleotide ribosomal RNA is filed under the name uncultured bacterium. RNAcentral's name for it is "partial 16S ribosomal RNA". It matches the Rfam family "Bacterial small subunit ribosomal RNA", at positions 29 to 507 of the family's 1533-position model. The record is from RNAcentral.